AUGGCGGAGGCGGAACCGGAAUCGGCGCCCGGAGGCGGAGAGGCCGGCGAGGACGCGAUGGACGCCACCGGUCCCGCGGCGGCGCCGGCGGAGGCGGAGGCCGCCGCCCCCGUCCCCGACGUUAACAUGAACCCUCUGAAGAGGCCAUCGGAGUCGUGUGCUCAAGGAGACGAAGCAGACGGGCAGAAGCGGCAGAAGACGGAGUCUCAAGUUUUCACACCCAGAAGAUACCAGCUCGAUGUCUUUGAGGUUGCCAAGGCGCGAAACACGAUUGCAAUGCUUGACACAGGAGCCGGGAAGACGAUGAUUGCUGUGAUGCUCAUGAAAGAGUUUGGGAAAAAGAUUGACAAAUCAAAUAACAAUGGGAAGAUCGUAUUCCUUGCACCAACAGUUCAGCUCGUCACACAGCAAUGUGAGGUGAUUAAAACCCACACAGAUUUUGAGGUGGAGCUGUAUUGCGGUGCCUCGGGGGUUGAUCACUGGACGCCUCAGAGAUGGAAAGAAAAAAUAUCGAAAUCUCAGGUCAUGAUGAUGAUACCAGAUGUGUUGCUAAGUGCUUUAGGCAAAGCUUUCUUGAGCUUGGACAUGGUUAGUCUUAUGAUAUUUGAUGAGUGCCAUCGUGCAACUGGCAAACACCCUUAUUCGAGAAUAAUGAAGGACUACUAUCACCAAUCUGACCACAAGCCAAAGGUGUUUGGUAUGACGGCCUCGCCUGUUAUAAGGAAAGGUGUCUCUUCUAAUCUGGAUUGUGAAGUUCAGUUCACUGAACUGGAAAAGCUUCUAAAUGCUAAGAUCUACACUGUGGCUGAUAGAGCAGAGAUAGAGCUUUGCGCUCCUUCUGCAAAAGAAGUGGACAGAUACUAUGACCCAAAAACAGUUUGUUUCAAGGAUUUGAGUGAAGAGUUGGGACUUUUGCAUUCUGAGUACGAUGCGUUAAUAACUACAUUGCAGAAUAAGCCUAACUGCCAGAAUAAAGAAUCCGAUGAAAUAGCUAAAGAAUCACGGAGGCGUCUAUCCAAUUCUUCAGCCAAAAUCCUGUAUUGCAUCGAUGAUAUUGGUCUUCUUUGUGCUAGUGAGGCCACCAAAAUCUACAUUGAAAGGGGUCAGAGAAAAGGUUGGCUGAAGAAAGCUUCUGAUGCCACAAAUAUUCAAAGUGUUGCAAAUAGCUCGUUCCUGCUUGCAGAAAUUUCAGUGCUUCAUCUGAAGUUCUUUGAGGAUAUGUCAUGUAUAAUUGACAAGCACCUCCAGCAAGGUAGCGAUGUGCUUCUAAAUUCUGAGAGUGGAUGUGUGGAAGCAAUUAAGACGGGUUAUAUUUCACCAAAGCUUUAUGAACUCAUCCAAAUCUUCCACUCUUUCAGCAACUGUGAUCAUGUCCGAUGCCUCAUUUUUGUGGAUCGAAAGAUCACUGCUAGAGCCAUGGAACGGACAAUGAAGAAAAUUGGACACCUCUCACAUUUUACAUUUUCUUCUCUUACUGGAGGGAGUUCUUCAGUGGACGCUCUGACCCCUAAAAUGCAAAAGGACACACUGGAUUCAUUUCGCUCUGGAAAGGUGAACUUACUAUUUACUACGGAUGUCGCAGAAGAGGGUAUUGAUGUCACAGACUGCUCGUGUGUAAUAAGAUUUGAUUUGCCAAAGACUACCCGUAGUUAUAUGCAGUCACGUGGACGAGCACGCCAGAAGGACUCUCAGUACAUACUAAUGAUUGAAAGGGAAAAUGUUAAACAAAAUAAUUUGAUAUCUGCCAUUUUGAGAAGCGAGAAGUCAAUGGUUGAGACUGCUUUGAACAGAGAUUCCGAGGAUCUACUCCCUGGUUUCUUCCCAGUUGAAGAAAAAAAUGAAUACCUUGUAGGCACAACCGGAGCAAAAGUAACUGCUGGUUCUAGCGUUAGUGUUAUCGUCCAAUACUGUGACAAGCUUCCAGGAGACAAGUACGACACCACAAAACCUUUGUUUGAGUUCACCAACCACGGUGAUGGUUUUGUGUGUACGUUAACACUACCAUCUAGUGACAUGUUGCCACCUUUGGUGGGUCCAAAAGCAAGAAACAAGAAGAAAGCAAAACAGCUUGUUUGUCUUGAUGCAUGUAAGCAGCUGCAUCAGCUAGGAGUACUUACUGACUCUCUUUGUCUAUCUGUUGAAGAGCCACCACUGGAAUCUGUGAACAAAACUGACGUUCUCACAUCUUUGGCUGGUGUAGGUACAACCAAACGAAAGGAGCUACAUGGUACAACUAGAGUAUGUGGGUUGUCUGGUACCUGGGCAUCAGAGAGAACUGCUGUUAAGCUUCAAGGCUACAGAAUGAAAUUUCUUUGUGACCAAGUUGGUCAGAAAUACUCCGAUUUUGUUCUGUUAAUUGAUAAAACUAUAGCACAUGAAGCUGCUAAUUUGGAUAUUGAUCUGUUUCUACAUGACAAGAUGGUGAAAGCUUCAGUCUCUCCUUGUGGCCUUUUUGAGUUGGAUGUUCAACAGAUGGAGCAAGCAAAGCUAUUUCAAGCACUUCUGUUCAAUGGUUUGUUUGGAAAGUUGUUCACUGGAUCAAAAUCAUCCGACGUUCCGCGGGAGUUUAUUCUCAAUAAAGAUGACACGUUUAUCUGGAAUAAUCCAAAUAUGUAUUUGAUUUUACCUAUGGAUCCUACUGUGGAGUCCCAUGAUAUUACAUGCAUCAACUGGAGAGUGAUUGAUGAAGCCGCAACAGCUGUUAAACUUUUGAGGAAGAUUUAUUCUGAAGAAAAAAUGAACAUACAGGGAAUACUUGAUUUCGACCAAAAUGAUGAAGAUCUAAUUCAUUUCGCCAACACUUCAUGUGAGACUCAUUUCCUUAGAAAUGUGGUAGUGCUGGCAGUCCACACAGGAAAGAUAUAUACUGCUCUUCAUGUUGCCGAUCUAUCUGCCAAUAGCACAUUUGAUGGUGUAUCAGAUGAAAAAGGAACAGAGUUCCGCACCUUUGCAGAAUACUUUGAGAAGAAGUAUGGCAUAGUUCUUCGUCAUCCCUCACAGCCACUACUAGUGCUGAAACCCAGUCAUAGGCCUCACAACAUUCUUUCCUCGAAGCUCAGAGAUGAAGGUAACGGUGAGAAGAAAAAGGGUGGCACAUCAGAUAUAACUAAGGCAAACAACCGUGUUCACAUGCCCCCAGAGUUGCUGAUUCCCCUUAAUUUUUCUGAUGACAUUUUAAGAACAUUUUAUUUGUUCCCAUCUUUGAUGCAUCGUAUAGAGGCAUUAAUGCUAGCCAGUCAACUAAAGAGUGAAAUUUCAUAUGACGAUUCUAAUGUAUCAAGCUUUCUGAUUCUAGAAGCUAUCACAACUCUUCGAUGCUCUGAAGACUUCUCAAUGGAGCGUCUGGAAUUAUUGGGAGAUUCUGUGUUGAAGUAUGUCGUUAGUUGUCACCUUUUCCUAAAAUUUCCUAACAUGGAUGAGGGGCAGUUAACAUCCAGUAGGGUUGAUAUAAUAUCUAAUGCUGCACUUUAUGGGUUUGGAAUUGAACACAAAAUACAGGGUUAUAUACGUGAUGCUGCAUUUGAUCCUCGUCGAUGGCUUGCACCAGGACAGCUCUCCAUUCAUCCUGUUCCUUGUAAUUGCCAAGUAAAUUCUGAGGUUGUCACUGAGGAUAUUAAUGUGAAAGUAGGCCAGCUGUGUGAUAAGGGACACAGAUGGAUGUGUUCCAAAACAAUUUCUGAUUGCGUCGAAGCUAUAAUCGGUGCAUAUUAUGUAGAAGGUGGCUUAAGAGCAGCUAUGGCUGUUCUCAAAUGGUUGGGAAUUAAUGUUGAAGUUGAGGAAGAAUUGAUUGGUCAGUUCUUGAGUGCAUCUGUGCAGACUUAUCUUCCAAAAAAUGAUGUAAUUGAAAAGGUUGAAGCAAAACUAGGCUAUGUAUUUUUGAUGAAAGGUCUUCUGCUAGAAGCUCUUACCCACCCAUCACUGCAGGAAUCAGCAGAAGGAUAUUCCUACGAGCGUCUGGAGUUCCUUGGUGAUGCUGUCUUGGAUAUUCUUUUAACACGACAUCUUUUCUCUAGUCAUAAAGACACCGAUGAGGGGGAGCUGACAGAUUUACGGUCUGCAUCAGUAAACAAUGAAAAUUUUGCACAACUCGCAGUGAAGCAUAAGUUAUAUCAGUUUCUCCAGCAUUCUUCUGGGAAAUUACCAGAAAAUAUUACUGAAUAUGUGGAUAGUUUAGAGAAUUCUUCCACGGACAAACUCAACCUUUUAUCAGAUGCGGCAUUAAGAGGGCCUAAGGUUCUGGGUGAUGUUGUAGAAAGUAUUGCGGGUGCAAUUCUUAUAGAUAGAAAACUUGAUUUGGAGGUAGUUUGGGGUAUUUUCAAACCUCUUCUUUCCCCUAUUGUUACACCUGAGAAGCUGGAGUUACCUCCCUUCAGAGAGCUUCUCGAAUGGUGCAACAAAAGUGGGUACUUUCUAGGAAUUAAGUGUACAGAUGGAAUUAAGCGUACAGAUGGAGACAAAAUAGAGGCUACUCUGGAUGUGCAACUCAAGGAGACGCUCCUUGUCAGGCAAGGUUGUGGCAAGAGCAAAAAGGAUGCUAAAGCACAUGCAGCUUCCAUGUUACUCAAGGACCUUGAGGAGGAAGGACUUAUAGUACCAAAGAAUGCAAGCAACACGCAACAGUUCCAGGAUCAUCGUAACAUUUUUGAUGCAAUGGAUAUACAACUUUCAACACCAACCAGGGGAAAGCGAUCAGCUGGAUCAAAGAUAGCUGCCAGUCUUGAUAAACCAGUGGACUGGCCGGUGAGAAUGAGCAAAGGAGGACCCCGUGCAGGACUGUAUGAGUUCUGCAAAAAGUUACAAUGGCCAGCUCCCAAUUUCGAUUGUGCGAAGGUAGAACAAAGCACGCCUACGCCUCAAGGUCAAGGGUUCACCUUCGCGUCAACCAUAAAACUGCACAUACCGAAUAGUGAUGUGAUCAGCCUCACAGGGGAUUGCUUUGCGGAUAAGAAGAGCGCGAUGGAUUCCGCCGCACUGCUCAUGCUCUAUGAGCUUCAGCAGCGAGGGAGAUUGCAAGUCCAGGAGAUUCGUCUUCCCUGA
RNAcentral lists this ribosomal RNA (5037 nucleotides) under Triticum aestivum (bread wheat). RNAcentral describes it as "partial small subunit ribosomal RNA". The record is from RNAcentral. Lineage: Eukaryota; Viridiplantae; Streptophyta; Magnoliopsida; Poales; Poaceae.